CAGGAGAUAACCCUUGAUCGAUGGAUUUCACUUCCGAAUUCACUGGAUCGACGGAUUUCACCUGCGAAUCCACAUCUCAGGGUUUUUUCUCCGGCUAUGACCCUAGAUCGAUGGUUUUUUCUGUCGAAUCCACAUCUCAGGGUUUCUUUCUCCAGCGAUGACCCUUGAGCGAUGGAUUUCACCGGCGUUUUCAAAUCUCAGGGUUUAUUUCUCCGGCGAUAACCCUAGAGAUAGAUGGAUUUCACCAGCGUUUUCACAUCUCAGGUACCAUCUUAUUAACCAGAUCUGUAACUAUUUUCUUGCAGAUCUGUUAAAUUUUAGGGUUUGUUUCUACUUGAUUUGUGAAAUAGAUCCAGAUCUGUAACUAUUUUCUUGCAGAUCUGGUUACUUUCAGAUCCGUACAGUUUUAGUCAUGUUUUAAUCGGUAAAGUUAUCGGAUACUGAUUUGCUUCUUUUUCUAUCAUGGAUGUGAAUAAUGCAGGUUUAGUUUUAAAUCUACUUGUUGUUUAUCGUCUGUGAAUAAGUUUGGAUCUGGUUUCGUUUGCGAUCUAAGUAAGGUGUUUGGUUUUGUGUUGAAUAUGCUAUUUGUGGGGUGAUGUUUCAAGGCAUUAAAUAUAAAGGAAAUGAAUUGCUUAUAAAAAAACAGCUCAUUCGAGAAAACAAUUCAAUUCAGAUUAAACUAAAGCCAUCAAAUGUGUUCAUUUUCAUUUUGUGGGUGUGUGUGCUUUUUUUGGCAGGGUGUGGAGUUGAAUUUUUUUCUCACAAUGAGGCAUUCAAAAGGAUGAGAUUCUGUCAGAGAUGUUAUAAAAUGUAACAUGAAAAACAAACUUAUGUCUAUGUAGGUACUCAUUGAGAGUUUGAGACCACGAAUCCAUCUAUUGCUUAAUGAAUCAGGUGCCAAAAAGCUUCGAAGUGAAGAUGCUAGCCUUGAGGUUGUGGCAGCUGGUGUUGUUCCAAUUCUUGUUACUAGAGGCAUUGAGAAGACAAAUAAAGUGAGGCAUUGAGAAAACAAAUAAAGCUUUGGUGGCUGUGUUCAAGCCGAUCUCAAACUAGGUUUCGUAGAUCUCGUUGGCCUUUUGUCAUUCGUCUCCCUUGGUGGUCAACAUUUGAAUGUUGGUGGCGCUUUUUUCUUUCUCUCAUAUUCAUCAACGAUUUCUCAGGCAGAGCAGGGAGCAAUUACUUGAACACUAACAAGUUCAUUGAUGUUGUCGCCGAUGAGCUCAAAGCAAGACUCCCCAACAAAUAAUCAUGAUGAUUCCUUAUUGGUUACAUGGUGGUCGAGACUUGAGGGUCAGUUUCAAAGAUUCUAAAGAGGUCUUUUAUUUUCUAUAUUUGUAACUGGAAUUUUGGCGAAUUUAUAUUAGAUACUACCAGACGACUAAGAACGGGUCUCUUUUGGCAUUGCUUUCUUGAUGGAAUUGUUGUAUAUAAACUUAAUUUCAUUUUUCUUAAGUAAAAGAAUGACAGUUAACAACACAUUUCAUCAGCAGACUCCCAAGAUUUGUGGGUAAAAAUAACUAUUUCUUCCGGAUUGCCGGAUUGCCUCACGCGAGUUGUAAUGUUAAAUUUUGUAUAUACUAAAGGAUGCUACAAGUUAGAUAGUAAAGGCUAAAAACUUUAGAGAGCGACGAUAUUUACCCAAAUGUACAGAAAUGUGACAAUCUGAGUUGUUUUGUUAGUCUUAUGGAUUAUUUGGGGGAACAACAUAUAAAAACAUGUGUAAAUGUGCUAUGAGCCCAAGACUAAUAAAAGUACCUAAGUAUCUAUGGGCUUGAUCGAGUGGG
RNAcentral lists this long non-coding RNA (1784 nucleotides) under Helianthus annuus (common sunflower). Lineage: Eukaryota; Viridiplantae; Streptophyta; Magnoliopsida; Asterales; Asteraceae. The record is from RNAcentral.